RNAcentral lists this ribosomal RNA (235 nucleotides) under uncultured bacterium. Its description in RNAcentral is "partial 16S ribosomal RNA". It matches the Rfam family "Bacterial small subunit ribosomal RNA", at positions 15 to 259 of the family's 1533-position model. The record is from RNAcentral.
GAUCAUGGCUCAGGAUGAACGCUGACAGAAUGCUUAACACAUGCAAGUCUACUUGAACUUCGGUUUGGGUGGCGGACGGGUGAGUAACGCGUAAAGAACUUGCCUCACAGUUAGGGACAACAUUUGGAAACGAAUGCUAAUACCUGAUAUUAUGAUUUUAGGGCAUCCUAAGAUUAUGAAAGCUAUAUGUGCUGUGAGAGAGCUUUGUCGUCCCACUUAGCUAGUUGGAGAAGGG